GUCUACAGCCAUGCCACCCUGAACGUGCCCAAUCUCAUCUGACCUCAGAAGUUAAGCAGGGUCGGGCCUGGUUAGUACUUGGAUGGGAGACCACCUUGGAAUACCAGGUGCUGUAAGUG
RNAcentral lists this ribosomal RNA (119 nucleotides) under Pteropus alecto (black flying fox). RNAcentral also lists the same sequence under 1 other name. Lineage: Eukaryota; Metazoa; Chordata; Mammalia; Chiroptera; Pteropodidae. The record is from RNAcentral.